RNAcentral lists this long non-coding RNA (243 nucleotides) under Capsicum annuum. RNAcentral describes it as "long non-coding RNA (CANN_LNC003325)". The record is from RNAcentral. Lineage: Eukaryota; Viridiplantae; Streptophyta; Magnoliopsida; Solanales; Solanaceae.
GUCUUUUUAGUUGGAAGAUAGCAUGUAUGUCGUUUUUUGGUGAAUUCAUGUUUGUGGUAAAAUCCUUUUUUGAGUUUUUUUUCUGCUUCGUAACAUCUAUCUUUAUGUUUCCUUCACUCAAUGUUUGCGCUGUACUUCUUUUUGUUUCGUAGUUAUUUGCCUAUGUGAACUGGUCUGACUUCAUGUGUAUUGGCUUUUACCAAUUAGACUUCAAAAGCAGAUAGCUUUUACAUUAUGAAUUUG